CUGGGGCAGCGGCUGCGCAGGCGCUCGCCGGCUCUUCCCGAGUGGCGGGAGAGCGCUUCGCGACCCGAGCGCCGGGAGGACCCAGCGAGGUCUCCCCACGCGAGGCGGCGACGCAAGACCUCUAACUCAUGGCAAAGGGAGAAUGUCCAAACGCUCAAGGGCAUUAUGAAAUAGAAUGGGCCAUUUGGCUCAUCAAGGUCCUCUCCACCCACAGGAUCCCAUGAAUCCAUCAAAUAAUGAAAACUUUACUCUCGUGCAAAUACCUUCAAAGUUCAACAUCUCCAGAACUCCAGAAUUCCCCACUUUGGAGGAUGAAUGGUUAAUUGGAUCCUAGUAGAUCGGCUAAAAAGAAUUGCUGAAAUGAGGUAUCAGAGAGCGGAAGAAAUUUGGAAAUCUUUUUCCUUCAAGUUGAGCGUAAUUAAUUAAGCCGUGUCUUCAAUCCAAUGGUAAAGACUGCCUAACAAACGCCAUCUGUUCUAGGGGAGUGCAGUGCUCUCUCAACUCUUCCUCCCUCCAUUGGUCUAUUUCUAUCUAUUAUAAACCACUCUCCUCUCAUAAAUGGAGAUGAAUAUAUGUGUAUUGAGAAAGAUCAUAAAUGAAUUUGGAAAAAUAUAAAUAGAUUUUGUGUUCCUUAUAAACAGUGGUGAAAGUUGCCUCAAUUCAAAAUGUUACUAGAAGAACCAGCCUCUGCCCUGUCUCUCCUUCAUUCUUUUACCUCAGGAAUUUGCACAGGGAAAUAAAUCCUAUACUGUGUUGUCCUACUUAUGGAGACAUAGCAAAGCAGGGCAAUACCUCCCCCAAACUUUUGACCUGGAAUUUCAAGUAUUUUAAUU
Vicugna pacos (alpaca) is the source of this 833-nucleotide non-coding RNA. NCBI's taxonomy places the organism in Eukaryota, Metazoa, Chordata, Mammalia, Artiodactyla, Camelidae. The record is from RefSeq and is a predicted model, not a curated record.